CAAUGAAAAUACAUUGUGUUAUAAUACAGGCUGCUGUAGUUGGAUGAAUUAUAACACAUGUACAGAAUUUUUAGUGUAGCAAGUCAUUAAUUAACAAUUUCAAGAUCAACACAGGAUACUUGAGGCAUGGAUAAACUGUUGGGGGUGUUUAGUAUUAUUGUGGUGGGUGGACUGGAUUCCACAGAGCUGUAGUAACUACAGAGGGAUAAAGCUGAUGAGCCAUACUGUGGAGAUAUGGGAAAAAUGUGACAAUUAGCGAGCAGCGGCAUGGCUUCACGCUGAGAAAGAACACUACAGAAGAUUUGUGACAGAAGGAUAGCAGAAAGAGUGAAAGGGAAGGUUUACAAGAUGGUAGUGAGACCUUCUAUGGUGUAUGGAUUGGAGAUGGUAACACUGACAAAAAGACAUGAGGCAAAGUCAGAGCGACCAGGAUGGUUGAGAUUAGACAUAAUAUCUCAGAGGGACAACUCAGGUUGAGAAGUCUGGACAUGCAGAGAGGGGGAAUAGCAGAUACAUUGGACAAAUGGGGGAUGACAUCAUUUUUUAUGAUGUCAUCACCCUUUUUUUUUAAUCAUUGUGAGUGUGGUGUCAUGCACUGAGGGAAAAUGGGUAAGUGACGCAAUGUUUUCAUUACAUCUUAAAUAAUAAUAACAAUGUGAAAUUCCCUUUACUGGGAUAGUGAAGGGAAUUUUUGUCGUGUGGUUUCCAGUUCAUGGAACUCUUGGAUCUUCCUGAACGCCAUUUUCCUCUCAUCUGAGGGGAAUCCACACUUGACCCUGUGUGGAUUAGAGAAAAUCCAACUUGCACACCCAGUUCUUGUUUUAAACUAAUUUCCCCCUGGAAAAAGAACCAUUGAAAGAAAUUAUUAAAAGCUCCAAAUUUCCACGACAUUCAUGCUCAACACGAGUGUAUGUAAACUGCUGCUUGGGAUUACUUUGGACCAAAGGAGAGGAAAUAACUUCAUUUAUUUUCAAUAAUAUUUUAUAGAUGAGGUGACAUAAUGUGUUUCUCGUUGCCUUGCCAGAAUCCUUCCAAGUGGUGGUGAGAGGAAGUGGAUUCCUUCACGCCCGAAAUGUUGACAAAGUGCUGUGCAGCUUUCGAAUCAACGACACCCUAACUAAGAGCUUUGGAAGUUUGAAUUAGAAGACUUUGAAGAAGACGACGCCAAACCUCUUCUGAAACUGGUAUGGGCAGUGAACAAUAUUAAUAAAAUGAGGGACAUAGCCCGGAUGCUCCUUAAAUUUCCAGAGGCUAUACCUCCUUAAUUUCAGUGGGGCACAUCUGACAUACAAUUAACAGUCCAGCUACAGUCUUUAAAUAUUUCUGUGGUGCUUUAAAUAUGUUUAAAAGAUGUUUAAAUAGCCUUAUUCUACAGAACACUUAAACUCCUCAGCAUGAUGAAGGAUUACGUUUAAAUCCUUAAAGACAAGCAGCAGGAACCACAAAACACCAAACUGCUCACUGCACAGGAACUGGUGAUAGAGGUAGUUCCCUGCGUCCUGCAGGGCUUCUGGGAGCGUCCUCCUCACCCCCUCUUGAACAUGGCCUCACAGAGUUAGCCUCAUCAAGGCCACUCUGGAUCACGCCUCCAAAACUGUCACAGCACGGAAAGCCAGGUCAUCUUCUCUCGCUCCAUCAGAGAUGACAUGGUCCAGAGCAUCCUGAGAUAAAUCAGAGAAGAAUACCCUCAAGAAAUUCUACUUAACAACAUUGCAAACUUUGCACCAGUGCUGUUCAAGGCGAUUGCUGAUGUAGCAAAGAAUUACGUAUCCAAUAUCUUUAAGCCCCCUUCAAGUCUUCCAAUGUUUGAUGUUCUUCCAAAUGAAGAACCUCCUUCAGACAGUCCUUCAACGCCCGAUGUUCCACCAGUUGAUAAACUUCCCUCUGAAAAUGUGCCAAUGUUGAAUGUUCUUCCCAGUGAGGAACUCCUUUCUGAAAGUUUGCCAGUGCCUAAUGUUCCCUGUGAGGAACUUUCUGCUGAAACGGCAUCCAUGUCUGAGACGGCUGAGACAGAGGAGUCUGAAGACCUUAAAAUCAAACAGAAGAAGAAAAAAGACUUUCUGUGCAGUUGCUGUGUCAGACCCAAAGAAACUGACUGACAGAGAAACUGAAAUCAAAUUUUAAAAACUCGUUAAUAUUUUUUGCAUGAGUCUCCGUCUGUGAUUAAAGAUGAAUUUCUUUCAGAUGUUUAUAAGAGUCUCUUACGGUUCUCAAAAUACCUCCACAAGUCCAGUAAGUGUUGUUAACAUGACAUACUGAAUACUUAAUAUUUAUAAUAGAAUUUCAACUUAUUCUAACUCUUAACAUGUAAACAACAGUAACUGAAACUGGUAAAUAACACUAGAGAAUGCAUUUCCUGUAGAAAAUGCAGUGUAAAUGCUAAUAGCUGAAUGGUUUGAGCUGAAUUUUUAUAAUUGCUGAAUCUUUGAUGGAAAACAUGUUUAAUGAGCUGAAAUACACCGAGUCAUUCACCUGACAGCCAAAGUGCAGAACUGAAAUUCACACAGAAGAACAAACUAGCUGAACAUCUUGAAAAUGUACAUAAGAAAAACUGUCUAAUGACAAAAGAAAAUUAACCCCAUUCUAGAAAACAUCUGAAUGAAUAUUGAAAGCUCAUAUUCUUUAAAUCACUGGGAGAGUGGAAUUAAAUGUCUGAACUCAAGAAUCUCAAAUAAUUCUUGGAUAAUUAUCCAAGACUGUAACUAUGAUCAAAAUACUUUUUGAACCAUGAGGGUCCCAAGGACUUGGUCUACACCAGACCUUCCCAAAGUGUGGGGCCCGCCCCCUAGGGGGGGCGCAGAGCCAUGACAGGGGGGGCGCGGGAUGAAAAGGGAAAAAAAAACAAAAAAAAAAAAACGCUUGGACACAGCUAGCACGGUGCACCCACAGAAACGCAAAGCAGGAGAUGAAGCAUGGCUGAAUAUGUUUCUAAACCAACUUCAUUCUAAGCAGGGGCGGAUCUAGAAGGGUGGCAUGGGGUGGCAAGUGCCACCCUAAAAUGAUCCCUUGCCACCCCAAGUGCCACCCCAGUUUUGCAUAUGACAGUGUUGUUUAUUAAAAUAAGAUAGCAUUAACAGUUUGAGCAUAGUUACAGUCAACAGUGAAUAUAAAUGCUAAAACUGAUUAUAUUGCAUAGUGUUUCCCCCCCUCCACCAUUAACAAAUGGUUCAGCCCAUAGCAGGACCGGCUUUUCUCUUGUUUUCAGUAGCAAGCGAUGUUUAUGAUUGUGCCAGAGCACAUUUUGAACAACACCGUGGGAAUUUCGCUUUUUACACAGGUGGUUGGAUGUUAAACUCUGGAAAUGGAAGGAAGGUGAGUGUCAUUAACCCUCCGUGGUCCACGGACACGCUGCACCUCCAAAUCACAUGACUGAUGUAAGCUGACAUAGCAACAAGCUGCAGCCACGCUGAGUCUCUAUUUCAGUCCACAUUGAAAGUUCGGACUUCAAAGGUUUUUUUAAUUUUAAUUACAGGCCAGUAAAUCCAGAGUUAUGAUAAUAUAUAUAAGCCAUGCUUUUUUCUAAUUACUGUCAUCACGUUUUGUGUGUGUUUUAAGCGUUUUCUAACGAAAGCGCGAAAACCGUAAAGAAAGGGGGAAAAAAACACCCCUUUCCUAUCGGUGGAAAAAUGUAUCAUGUCGCCCAAUUUAAAAAAAAAGUUAACACGUGGGAUUUGGUUGUUUAGGAAGAGGGAAAGGUUUUGGGGGUGACGGUAACGGCAGCGAGACAGAGCGAGCGAGAGAGAGAGAGUUUUUAGAUGUGGGAGAUUUGUAACGUUUAGUGUGGAGUAGGGGUGGGUUUUUAUAAUCGAUUUAUUGAUUAAAAUCGAUUCUGGCUUGGAUAACGUGAAAUCGAUUCAUUAAAAUCCUGAAUCGAUUUUUUAAUAUAAAUUUAUUUUGCCCGAAACGCCAGAAUCUCAGGUGAAACCUCACAAAAUUUCAACAACCACCAAACAGCUAAGACAGUAAAUGAGAGCAGGAACACGGAUUCUGCACAAAGACGUAAACACAAAGCGCGGACCCACGGAUCAGAAUCAGUGAGAUGUCGCCUUUCUCACCUGACGGCACGGACACGGACACGGUUGGGGCUGAAAGCCGACAGCUCGCUGAUUCUGAUGUUUCGGCGGGUCCGCACUCUGUGUUCACGCCCUUUUUGCGCUGAUUCUAAAGCUGUUAGUUUGAUCUCUCUCCAAACAAUAUUGACUGAACCAGCAGCAAAAGAAGAUCCAAACGAUGUUUACGCUUCACGUAAACAUCAUCAUGAAUUCACUCUGACUUUGGCUGUUUUGCUUCCACCACGAUAAAAUCACACUUCAUGCACAGCUCUCUCUCUCUCUCUCUCUCUCUCUCUGUACUUCAAGAACAGUCUCCCGUCUAAAAAUCUGUUUUCUGCAUUAUUCGCUUGCUUGUUACGCACAAGUCUACCGUUGUUUACAGCGCUGUCGGCUGCUGUUUUUUGUUUUUUUUAGUUUUACAUACUUCCGAAGAGAAAACCUAAUUUCUGCCGUUCAAUACUGAACAAAUUUAAACUUUUUAAAAUUAUGCAAAAUGCAAAACGCUUAGCCGUGUCUCUAAUAAAACCGCUGUAACGUCAGAGGUAACGUUCAUAUGUUUAUUAAUGGUUUUCUUUCAUUUUUGAUGUACUGCAGAAUAUUUUUAUAAAAUCCCAGGCCAGGAAAACCACCUUCAUGUUUUUCUGUGUUUUAUCUUCAGCUACUUUGACACAAAGGCAUCUGCUGUGACGCUUACACCUUUGAUAAAGUCUUGUGUCAGCUUCCUUUUUAUAGAUACAAAAAUAUGUAAAUGUACUGAUCUGGAUUAUAAUAUUUCUGACUGUCAAAAUUUCCCAGAUUCAAAUUCAAAUUCGAAUUGAAUCGAAUCGAAUCGAAUUUAAUCGAAUCGUGGAUCAAAUCGAUUCGGGACCUUGUGAAUCGGAAACGAAUCGAUUCUAGAAAUCAGUGACGAUACCCAGCCCUAGUGUGGAGUGUAUACUUAGUGUGUUGUGUUGUCGUUGUGUUGUGUAGUCGUUGUUUUGUUUUGUGUGUCAGUGAGGGCACUAAUGAAUGUCACAAAGGCACAUUUGCAAUGUAAACACUGUCACUAAGUAGAGAACCAGCGGAGUGAUACACCUCCUGUUGUUAGGCCUGCAGGUUUAUCCCUGUGCUGUUCUCCUCUGUCUUUUGGUGGACAAACUUAUUUUUUACUGGCACACAUCAUUUCUGGGGCAUCUUAUUGCGACACCUGAUUGUUCUCUCAUUUUAGUUUUAGUAAUAUUUUUAAAUUAUUAUACAAAAUGAAAAAAAACCCAUGGCAGGUGUAUUGGCUGCAUUUUUAGAUAAAUAGUUGUAUAUGUUUACAAAAUGUACAUUUUAUAUCUGCAUUU
Molecule: long non-coding RNA, 5380 nt
Organism: Pelmatolapia mariae (spotted tilapia)
Lineage: Eukaryota; Metazoa; Chordata; Actinopteri; Cichliformes; Cichlidae
Exons: 3
Source: RefSeq, a predicted model, not a curated record